This 63-nucleotide microRNA precursor is filed under the name Melibe leonina. Its description in RNAcentral is "microRNA mle-mir-10b precursor". Its record names the gene mle-mir-10b. The record is from miRBase by way of RNAcentral. Lineage: Eukaryota; Metazoa; Mollusca; Gastropoda; Nudibranchia; Dendronotidae.
UUACCCUGGAGAACCGAGCGUGUGCGUGAACGAAAAGGUCACAUCUCGGUACUCGGGGUCAUC